CUGUACCUCAAGCCCGGCUUGUGUGUUGGGCCUACCGUCCUGUUUGGAUGGUGGCCCGAAAGGCAGUGGCGGCGUCGCGUCCCGGUCCUUGAAGCGUAUGGGGCUUUGUCACCCGCUUGGAGGCCGGCCGAUGCCGUAGCCCAUCGUGGAUCUUCCACAUUUAUUCU
Molecule: unclassified non-coding RNA, 167 nt
Filed under: uncultured Rasamsonia
Lineage: Eukaryota; Fungi; Ascomycota; Eurotiomycetes; Eurotiales; Trichocomaceae
Description: sequence contains ITS2
Source: RNAcentral